GGGUUGUGAGGUUAAGCGACUAAGCGUACACGGUGGAUGCCCUGGCAGUCAGAGGCGAUGAAGGACGUGCUAAUCUGCGAUAAGCGCCGGUAAGGUGAUAUGAACCGUUAUAACCGGCGAUUUCCGAAUGGGGAAACCCAGUGUGACUCGUCACACUAUCAUUAACUGAAUCCAUAGGUUAAUGAGGCGAACCGGGGGAACUGAAACAUCUAAGUACCCCGAGGAAAAGAAAUCAACCGAGAUUCCCCCAGUAGCGGCGAGCGAACGGGGAGGAGCCCAGAGCCUGAAUCAGCAUGUGUGUUAGUGGAAGCGUCUGGAAAGGCGCGCGAUACAGGGUGACAGCCCCGUACACAAAAGCGCAUGUGCUGUGAGCUCGAUGAGUAGGGCGGGACACGUGGUAUCCUGUCUGAAUAUGGGGGGACCAUCCUCCAAGGCUAAAUACUCCUGACUGACCGAUAGUGAACCAGUACCGUGAGGGAAAGGCGAAAAGAACCCCGGCGAGGGGAGUGAAAAAGAACCUGAAACCGUGUACGUACAAGCAGUGGGAGCACCCUUUGGGGUGUGACUGCGUACCUUUUGUAUAAUGGGUCAGCGACUUAUAUUCUGUAGCAAGGUUAACCGAAUAGGGGAGCCGGAGGGAAACCGAGUCUUAAUUGGGCGUUAAGUUGCAGGGUAUAGACCCGAAACCCGGUGAUCUAGCCAUGGGCAGGUUGAAGGUUGGGUAACACUAACUGGAGGACCGAACCGACUAAUGUUGAAAAAUUAGCGGAUGACCUGUGGCUGGGGGUGAAAGGCCAAUCAAACCGGGAGAUAGCUGGUUCUCCCCGAAAGCUAUUUAGGUAGCGCCUCGUGAAUUCAUCUCCGGGGGUAGAGCACUGUUUCGGCUAGGGGGCCAUCCCGGCUUACCAACCCGAUGCAAACUGCGAAUACCGGAGAAUGUUAUCACGGGAGACACACGGCGGGUGCUAACGUCCGUCGUGAAGAGGGAAACAACCCAGACCGCCAGCUAAGGUCCCAAAGUCAUGGUUAAGUGGGAAACGAUGUGGGAAGGCCCAGACAGCCAGGAUGUUGGCUUAGAAGCAGCCAUCAUUUAAAGAAAGCGUAAUAGCUCACUGGUCGAGUCGGCCUGCGCGGAAGAUGUAACGGGGCUAAACCAUGCACCGAAGCUGCGGCAGCGACGCUUAUGCGUUGUUGGGUAGGGGAGCGUUCUGUAAGCCUGUGAAGGUGGCCUGUGAGGGUUGCUGGAGGUAUCAGAAGUGCGAAUGCUGACAUAAGUAACGAUAAAGCGGGUGAAAAGCCCGCUCGCCGGAAGACCAAGGGUUCCUGUCCAACGUUAAUCGGGGCAGGGUGAGUCGACCCCUAAGGCGAGGCCGAAAGGCGUAGUCGAUGGGAAACGGGUUAAUAUUCCCGUACUUGGUGUUACUGCGAAGGGGGGACGGAGAAGGCUAUGUUGGCCGGGCGACGGUUGUCCCGGUUUAAGCGUGUAGGCUGGUUUUCCAGGCAAAUCCGGAAAAUCAAGGCUGAGGCGUGAUGACGAGGCACUACGGUGCUGAAGCAACAAAUGCCCUGCUUCCAGGAAAAGCCUCUAAGCAUCAGGUAACACGAAAUCGUACCCCAAACCGACACAGGUGGUCAGGUAGAGAAUACCAAGGCGCUUGAGAGAACUCGGGUGAAGGAACUAGGCAAAAUGGUGCCGUAACUUCGGGAGAAGGCACGCUGACACGUAGGUGAAGUGAUUUACUCAUGGAGCUGAAGUCAGUCGAAGAUACCAGCUGGCUGCAACUGUUUAUUAAAAACACAGCACUGUGCAAACACGAAAGUGGACGUAUACGGUGUGACGCCUGCCCGGUGCCGGAAGGUUAAUUGAUGGGGUCAGCGCAAGCGAAGCUCCUGAUCGAAGCCCCGGUAAACGGCGGCCGUAACUAUAACGGUCCUAAGGUAGCGAAAUUCCUUGUCGGGUAAGUUCCGACCUGCACGAAUGGCGUAAUGAUGGCCAGGCUGUCUCCACCCGAGACUCAGUGAAAUUGAACUCGCUGUGAAGAUGCAGUGUACCCGCGGCAAGACGGAAAGACCCCGUGAACCUUUACUAUAGCUUGACACUGAACAUUGAGCCUUGAUGUGUAGGAUAGGUGGGAGGCUUUGAAGCGUGGACGCCAGUCUGCGUGGAGCCGACCUUGAAAUACCACCCUUUAAUGUUUGAUGUUCUAACGUGGACCCGUAAUCCGGGUUGCGGACAGUGUCUGGUGGGUAGUUUGACUGGGGCGGUCUCCUCCUAAAGAGUAACGGAGGAGCACGAAGGUUGGCUAAUCCUGGUCGGACAUCAGGAGGUUAGUGCAAUGGCAUAAGCCAGCUUGACUGCGAGCGUGACGGCGCGAGCAGGUGCGAAAGCAGGUCAUAGUGAUCCGGUGGUUCUGAAUGGAAGGGCCAUCGCUCAACGGAUAAAAGGUACUCCGGGGAUAACAGGCUGAUACCGCCCAAGAGUUCAUAUCGACGGCGGUGUUUGGCACCUCGAUGUCGGCUCAUCACAUCCUGGGGCUGAAGUAGGUCCCAAGGGUAUGGCUGUUCGCCAUUUAAAGUGGUACGCGAGCUGGGUUUAGAACGUCGUGAGACAGUUCGGUCCCUAUCUGCCGUGGGCGCUGGAGAACUGAGGGGGGCUGCUCCUAGUACGAGAGGACCGGAGUGGACGCAUCACUGGUGUUCGGGUUGUCAUGCCAAUGGCACUGCCCGGUAGCUAAAUGCGGAAGAGAUAAGUGCUGAAAGCAUCUAAGCACGAAACUUGCCCCGAGAUGAGUUCUCCCUGAGACUUAGAGUCUCCUGAAGGAACGUUGAAGACGACGACGUUGAUAGGCCGGGUGUGUAAGCGCAGCGAUGCGUUGAGCUAACCGGUACUAAUGAACCGUGAGGCUUAACCUUACAACGCCGAAGCUGUU
This 2930-nucleotide ribosomal RNA is filed under the name Salmonella enterica subsp. enterica serovar Concord. Its description in RNAcentral is "bacterial LSU rRNA". It matches the Rfam family "Bacterial large subunit ribosomal RNA". Lineage: Bacteria; Pseudomonadati; Pseudomonadota; Gammaproteobacteria; Enterobacterales; Enterobacteriaceae. The record is from RNAcentral.